RNAcentral lists this long non-coding RNA (249 nucleotides) under Elaeis guineensis (African oil palm). RNAcentral's name for it is "long non-coding RNA (EGUI_LNC016813)". Lineage: Eukaryota; Viridiplantae; Streptophyta; Magnoliopsida; Arecales; Arecaceae. The record is from RNAcentral.
CCAUUGAAAUAUUAUUUCUCCUACUAAUAACUCCAUCCCUCUUCGCCAUUCAUCUCGCCAUGUUGGAGCACCAAACCGAUAUGGUUAUUCACUUGAAAGAUAUGAAAAAUCAUAUGCCUUACAUACUACAUUGAAUUCUAUUUCUGUACCUAAUUCAUAUGCUCAAGCAGCUAAUCAAGAUAGCUGGAAACAAGCCAUGGAUGAGGAGCUCCAUGCACUUGAAGAAAAUCAGACAUGGGAGUUGGUACC